ACUUGGAUCUGCUCUUGAAUCUGCCCCUGCGGAAAGAGGGCCGUUUGGACAGGCUGUGCCUGGAGAUUUCUGGCCUCAUAAAAUCCUCCUGGUCUCUUAGGAGAGCUGGUGACACUCUCCAGGUCCUUGGUGGAGCCUGAUGAUUGACAUCUUAAGCAAAUUCUCUGGAGAAGUCGAUGCUCCUGAUGGAGGCUCACACAUUGAUAACCCCUGGUUUAGAGACACUACUAAUUGUUCCAGCUCAUCCAGCUAAUAAAUGACAGAUCUCAGACUUAA
Molecule: small RNA, 276 nt
Filed under: Homo sapiens (human)
Lineage: Eukaryota; Metazoa; Chordata; Mammalia; Primates; Hominidae
Description: TRIM31 antisense RNA 1 (ENSG00000235722.1)
Source: RNAcentral